RNAcentral lists this ribosomal RNA (786 nucleotides) under uncultured Gemmatimonas sp. RNAcentral's name for it is "bacterial SSU rRNA". It matches the Rfam family "Bacterial small subunit ribosomal RNA", at positions 8 to 796 of the family's 1533-position model. Lineage: Bacteria; Pseudomonadati; Gemmatimonadota; Gemmatimonadia; Gemmatimonadales; Gemmatimonadaceae. The record is from RNAcentral.
AGAGUUUGAUCCUGGCUCAGGACGAACGCUGGCGGCGUGCUUAACACAUGCAAGUCGAAGGCACUUGGGGGGCAACUCUCAAGUGACUGGCGAACGGGUGCGUAACACGUGAGCGAUCUACCCUGGUGUGGGGGAUAGCCGGCCCAACGGCCGGGUAAUACCGCAUGCGCUCUUCUGGAGGCAUCUCUGGGAGAACAAAGCCUUUGGGCGCACUGGGAGGAGCUCGCGGCCUAUCAGCUAGUUGGCGAGGUAAUGGCUCACCAAGGCGACGACGGGUAGCUGGUCUGAGAGGAUGGCCAGCCACAUUGGGACUGAGAGACGGCCCAGACUCCUACGGGAGGCAGCAGUGGGGAAUCUUGCGCAAUGGGCGAAAGCCUGACGCAGCGACGCCGCGUGCGGGAGGACGGCCUUCGGGUCGUAAACCGCUGUUGCCCGGGACGAAAAGCCCUUUCGAGGGCGUUGACGGUACCGGGUGAGGAAGCACCGGCUAACUCCGUGCCAGCAGCCGCGGUAAUACGGAGGGUGCGAGCGUUGUCCGGAAUCACUGGGCGUAAAGGGCGCGUAGGCGGCGCGACAAGGCGGCGGUGAAAGUCCGGGGCUCAACCCCGGAUCGGCCGUGGCGACUGUCGCGCUCGAGCACAGUAGAGGCGGGUGGAAUUCCGGGUGUAGCGGUGGAAUGCGUAGAGAUCCGGAAGAACACCGGUGGCGAAGGCGGCCGCUGGGCUGUGGCUGACGCUGAGGCGCGACAGCGUGGGGAGCAAACAGGAUUAGAUACCCCGGUAGUCC